CGCAGUAUUUAGGUACCAGCCUCUCUUCUCCUCCUCCUACAGUCUCGACGCCUCCCCAGGAAACUUUCAGCACGCGCCCGGGUCCGGCUGCGGUCCCCCCCGGCUCCGGCUCCGAGUCGCUCUCCGAGGCCUCGCCCAGCACCACCGUGGUGAAAGAGAGGCAGCAUGUCGCAAGAGAGAAACGAAAGGGAGGAGGGGGAAAUCGCGGGGAGAACAGCCCCCGUGGGCAGCGGAGACCCGCCCUUUCCCGCGUUCAGGGAAUAACCGCAUAACAGCCCGCAUAACAGCCCCGCGCUCCCCCGGACCUCACGGAGACCCCCCGCUUCCCCGCCCCCCUCCCAGCCCCACGCGGACCCCAAACACGUCCAGGCACCCGCAGCUCCAUCGGAACGCCUCGCAGUCCCUCCCAGCCCUACGGGACCCCCACGCCCGUACGCACGCCAAGCACCACACCAACUCCACUCCCUCAGCCCGCGCCGCAGCCUGGGUCACGUGCACGCUCACCCAUCACCGGCCUCGCGUCGCGUCGCGUCGAGCGACGUCACGCCUCCCACGCGCCCGGAUGAAGGGCGCGCCAAUAAUAGGCAGCGUGAAACCAAUCAGAUGGCCGAACGGGGAAGGGUGGCCAUACUUAGGACAAGGGGCGGAGGGGAGGGGCGUGAGGAGGCAUGCAGGGCCGGAGCCUGUGCCUGCCGUGCGUUCGUGUGGUCCGGCGGUGCCGCCCGGUGUCCGCUGCUGCUCGGGGCGGCGUGUGCCAGGGCCCUCGUCGGGAAACACUGCGUCCUUCUAUGGAAGCCGCCGAGCGCCUCGGCCUGCACUCUGUACAAUAAGGACGCGGCGAUGAAAAACCGAUUGGUUGUGCGCAGGGCGCAGCAGCUCCGCUGCUGGGACACUGUCAGGGCGCGUAAGAAGUCGCGGUCCCUCCGUGUGUGAGCUCCCUCCGAGGACGAGAAGGCCGCCAUCAGGUCUCCCCAGAGCCUUCUCCGGGCCGCACGAGCACAGCCAUCUCAGCCCUUCCUGUCGGGAGAGGCUGUUCCUGGGCAAUGGGGCGCAAAGCCAGGAGUCGGAUGCAACGGGGGCAUCCCCUGAUGUUCCGAUCCAUUGCCCCGUGCUACCCAGAAGCGAGCAGGGACGAGGGAAGAGGAGAGCCUCCACUUCUUGUCUGAGGAGAAGAGGUGCACCGAGAGGCCUGAGAGAAGGGGGAGAAUGUGGGGUGCGGGAGUUGCACCGCCACAGUUGACGCAGGCACUCCAGGCUUUAGGUGACGACUGCCCGAGAAAUCCAAACACCAAACCUUCCUUCCAAAUGAGCCCCACGCUGAGUUUUACCAAGCAGAGCGAGGAAGGAAGAAGCAUGACAUUUGGGCCUUGCAGGUGGGCAUCUUUCUGUGCCAGAAGUUCUUUGUCCUCUUAAUUAGUGAAGGGAGUGACGUGCGGAAUCAAACUCUAUAACCCACGUAAGCUUAUAAAGCAGCUAUGCUCGUCAUGGCGCCAGAUGCGAGGGGGAUAUCUCCUCCUCCAAGAGGACUCGCACUCCAAGAAAAGCUCUAGGUACAUAUUUACAGACAGAACAUUUACAUAUUCAUUACGUUUCACAGAAAUGGCCUGGAAUUCUGAGAAAUAUUACAUAUUGUCGACUCUCUUGAACAUGCGUCCUAAAAAUGGGGUGGGGGUCUCCGGUGGUCAUUGAUGAAGGCUAGUAGUCCUAUGCCCCCGGGCCCCUGUGAACUUCCAACCUUUUAGUGGGGGGUAGUCCAAACCAGCUCGUACUGGUGUUUUGUUGAGCCGAGGCAUCUGUUUCACUCUCCCAUCUUCUACAACAGGAGUCCAUUCUUCUUUCUUAUU
Coturnix japonica (Japanese quail) is the source of this 1844-nucleotide long non-coding RNA. The record is from Ensembl. NCBI's taxonomy places the organism in Eukaryota, Metazoa, Chordata, Aves, Galliformes, Phasianidae.